UAAUAGGAAAAAUAAUGAUGUCACUUUUAUAAAUAGUGUUGUCCAAAGCUGGUGCCAGAAGACUCGGUAAGGCCAGAGACGCAAGCGUUAAUCAUCUUGAUCAGGCGUAAAGGGUUUGUAGGCAGCUUUAAAAGAAUUAAAGAUAGAAUCAAAUAGAAGUACAAGAGAAUUACUAGAGUAGGGUUGAUAUCCGUAUAAACCAGUAAGAAUUCUAAUUAGCGAAGGCACUUUACUAUCUAAUGAUUGACGCUGAGAAACGAAGGGGAGAAUAGAAAACAGGAUUAGAUACCCUACUAUCUCUCUCUGUAAACGAUGAAUGGUAGUUGCUAGUAAUAAUAAUUAGUGACGAGGCUAACGCGUUAACCAUUCCGCCUUGUGAGUAC
This 383-nucleotide ribosomal RNA is filed under the name Hysterangium sp. T3328. RNAcentral describes it as "SSU rRNA". It matches the Rfam family "Bacterial small subunit ribosomal RNA", at positions 438 to 883 of the family's 1533-position model. Lineage: Eukaryota; Fungi; Basidiomycota; Agaricomycetes; Hysterangiales; Hysterangiaceae. The record is from RNAcentral.